CAAGGGCACGCGGGGGGAUGCCUUGGCGCUUAUGGCCGAAGAAGGGCGUGGCAAGCUGCGAAAAGCCGCGGGGAGGAGCAAGCAUCCCGAGAACCGCGGAUACCCGAAUGGGGCAACCCGCCUCGUAGAAGACGAGGCGCUCGCAAGAGGCGGCAAACCCGGUGAAGUGAAACAUCUCAGUAACCGGAGGAGAAGAAAUCGAAGAGAUGCCCGAGUAGUGGUGAGCGAAACGGGCCAGAGCCUAAACCGAGUACGUGCCAAGCCUGCGGGCGUUGCGUAGUCGGGGUCGAGGGACCGAAUGCGAAGAUGCCGCAGCGUCUUCCCGAAGUGAGCAAGUUCGUUUCUAGCCGAAAGGUGUUGGGAAAGCCUGCCGCAGAGAGUGAAAGCCUCGUAGGCGAAAGGAACGGACCUUCGGAAGUCGGAUCCCGAGUAGGGCGGAGCACGUGAAAUUCCGUCUGAAUCAGGGGGGCCCAUCCUCCAAGGCUAAAUACCAUAAGCGACCGAUAGUGGAGCAGUACCGAGAGGGAAAGGUGAAAAGCACCCCUGGCGGGGAGUGAAAGAGACCUGAAACCGCGUGCCUACAAGCAAUCGGAGCGGCGCAAGCCGUGACGGUGUGCCUCUUGGAAAAUGAGCCGGCGAGUUUUUUUUCGUGGCGAGGUUAAGGACUAGGAGGUCCGGAGCCGCAGGGAAACCGAGUCCGAAGAGGGCGUAGAGUCGCGAGGAAAAGACCCGAAGCCCGACGAUCUAUCCAUGGCCAGGUUGAAGAUCGGGUAAAACCGAUUGGAGGACCGAACCGGUGCCUGUUGAAAAAGUCUCGGAUGAGCUGUGGAUAGGAGUGAAAAGCUAAUCGAGUCGGGUGAUAGCUGGUUCUCCCCGAAAUGCAUUGAGGUGCAGCCUCAUGGGCAGAAGGUCACGGGGGUAGAGCACCGGAUGGGUGCGGGGGUCGCAGGACCUACCAAAUCCAACUGAACUCCGAAUACCGUAGACCGGAUCCAUGGGAGUGAGACUGCGGGUGAGAAGGUCCGUAGUCGAGAGGGAAACAACCCAGACCGACAGCUAAGGCCCCGAAUGGCAAGCUAAGUGUGACAAGGAUGUGGUGACGCCCAGACAGCCAGGAGGUUGGCUUAGAAGCAGCCAUCCUUGAAAGAGUGCGUAAUAGCUCACUGGUCGAGCGUUGCCGCGCCGAAAAUGUGGGGGGCUAAGCUUGCAGCCGAAGCUUCGGAUCGAGAUCGGAAGAUCUUGGUAGUAGGGGAGCGUUCCGUAUGGGGAGAAGUCGAGUCGUGAGGCUUGGUGGACCGUACGGAAGCGAGAAUGCCGGCAUGAGUAGCGCGAAACAUGUGAGAAUCAUGUUCACCGGAAGCCCAAGGAUUCCUGGGGAAGGUUGAUCCGCCCAGGGUUAGGCGGGACCUAAGCCGAGGCCGAAAGGCGUAGGCGAUGGCCAGCAGGUAGACAUUCCUGCCCCGUUUGGUGGCCGUUAUUACCGAAGCGGUGACGCAGCAGGCUAGGUGUGCCGGGUGAUGGACGUCCCGGUGCAAAGGCGUAGGGAGGAUUCGUAGGCAAAUCCGCGAGUCCAUAAUCCUGAGACCUGACGCGGAGCUUCCACGGAAGCGAAGACAUUGACGCCCCACUGCCGAGAAAAGCCGCUAGGGAGGACAUCGAGCGCCCGUACUGUAAACCGACGCAGGUGGGCUGGCUGAGCAGGCUAAGGUGAACGGGAAAACCCUCGUUAAGGAACUCUGCAAGUUAACCCCGUAACUUCGGGAGAAGGGGUGCCACCCUGGUGAAGAAAAGACUUUUGGAGCUGAGGGUGGCCGCAGAACCCAGGCCCAGGCGACUGUUUACUAAAAACACAGGUCUCUGCAUAAGCCGUAAGGCGACGUAUAGGGACUGACGCCUGCCCGGUGCUGGAAGGUUAAGGGGAGAGGUCAGCGCAAGCGAAGCUUUGAACCGAAGCCCCAGUAAACGGCGGCCGUAACUAUAACGGUCCUAAGGUAGCGAAAUUCCUUGUCGGGUAAGUUCCGACCUGCACGAAAGGCGUAACGAUCUGGGCGCUGUCUCGACGAGGGACCCGGCGAAAUUGUGGUACUGGUAAAGACGCCAGUUACCCGUGGUGGGACGGAAAGACCCCGUGGAGCUUUACUGUAGCCUGAUAUUGGAUUUCGGUAGAUCAUGCACAGGAUAGGUGGGAGGCAUUGAAGCGAGGACUUCGGUUUUCGUGGAGCCGACGUUGGGAUACCACCCUUGAUGUGCUGGGAUUCUAACGGCGUCGCGUGAAUCCGCGCGCCGGACAGUGUCAGGUGGGCAGUUUGACUGGGGCGGUCGCCUCCCAAAGAGUAACGGAGGCGCGCGAAGGUUACCUCAGGGCGAAUGGAAAUCGCCCGUUGAGCGCAAGGGUAUAAGGUAGCCUGACUGUGAGAGAGACAUCUCGAGCAGGAGCGAAAGCUGGUCCUAGUGAUCCGGCGGUGCUGUGUGGAAAGGCCGUCGCUCAUCGGAUAAAAGCUACCCCGGGGAUAACAGGCUGAUCUCCCCCGAGAGUUCCCAUCGACGGGGAGGUUUGGCACCUCGAUGUCGGCUCGUCGCAUCCUGGGGCUGAAGCAGGUCCCAAGGGUUGGUCUGUUCGCCCAUUAAAGCGGUACGUGAGCUGGGUUUAGAACGUCGUGAGACAGUUCGGUCCCUAUCCACCAUGGGCGUAGGGAAUUUGAGGGGAGCUGCUCCUAGUACGAGAGGACCGGAGUGGACGCACCGCUAGUGUACCGGUUGUGGCGCCAGCUGCAUAAGCCGGGUAGCCAUGUGCGGAAGGGAUAACCGCUGAAGGCAUCUAAGCGGGAAGCCCACCCCAAGAUGAGAUUCCCCACUGGAGAGCCAGGUAAGGCGGCCUGAAGACGACAGGGUAGAUAGGCCGGAGAUGUAAGCGGUGAGAGCCGUUGAGUCGACCGGUACUAAUCCGCCGAGGCCUCUUCC
Molecule: ribosomal RNA, 2961 nt
Filed under: Aminiphilus circumscriptus DSM 16581
Lineage: Bacteria; Thermotogati; Synergistota; Synergistia; Synergistales; Aminiphilaceae
Description: bacterial LSU rRNA
Rfam family: Bacterial large subunit ribosomal RNA
Source: RNAcentral